UUGAUCUGAAAUCAGGUAGGGCUACCC
Molecule: ribosomal RNA, 27 nt
Filed under: Umbelopsis nana
Lineage: Eukaryota; Fungi; Mucoromycota; Umbelopsidomycetes; Umbelopsidales; Umbelopsidaceae
Description: partial 28S ribosomal RNA
Source: RNAcentral